GGUAUUGUAAUAAGACUUUAAUUGAGUGCUAAAAGAAUGGAUUUUCAAAAAAAAUCUUUUUUAAAUUUAAUAUUUAAAUUUAUUUUUAUUUGUGAAGAAACAAUAAUAAAAAUUAAGGACAAGAAGACCCUAUGAAUUUUUAUAAUUUUAAUUUUAAAUUUAAAAUUAAAAUUAUUUAAUUGGGGCGAUUAAAAAAAAUAAUAAACUUUUCAUAUUAAAAAUUGAUCCAUUAAUAAUGAUUUUUUGAAAUAAAUACUCUAGGGAUAACAGCGUAAUAAUUUUAGAUAGAUCUUAUAGAAAAAAUAGUUUGCGACCUCGAUGUUGGAUUAGGAUACUUUUUUAAUGAAGAAGU
RNAcentral lists this ribosomal RNA (352 nucleotides) under Haemaphysalis shimoga. RNAcentral describes it as "partial 16S ribosomal RNA". Lineage: Eukaryota; Metazoa; Arthropoda; Arachnida; Ixodida; Ixodidae. The record is from RNAcentral.